GAGAAGAACGCAGCGAAACGCGAUAAGUAAUGUGAAUUGCGGAAUCCAGUGAAUCAUCGAAUCUUUGAACGCACAUUGCGCCCGCCAGCAUUCUGGCGGGCAUGCCUGUUCGAGCGUCAUUUCAACCCUCGACCUCCCCUUGGGGAGGUCGGCGUUGGGGACCGGCAGCACACCGCCGGCCCUGAAAUGGAGUGGCGGCCCGUCCGCGGCGACCUCUGCGCAGUAAUACAGCUCGCACCGGGACCCCGACGCGGCCACGCCGUAAAACACCCAACUUCUGAACGUUGACCUCGAAUCAGGUAGGACUACCCGCUGAACUUAAGCAUAUCAAUAGCGGAGGA
This 341-nucleotide unclassified non-coding RNA is filed under the name soil metagenome. Its description in RNAcentral is "partial contains 5.8S ribosomal RNA, internal transcribed spacer 2, and large subunit ribosomal RNA". The stretch from base 3 to 119 matches the Rfam family "5.8S ribosomal RNA", at positions 38 to 154 of the family's 154-position model. The record is from RNAcentral.